UCGCACGAGAAAGCAGGAGCAAUCUUGUGAGUAAAGUGGCGUACGGGUGAGCAACACGUGGAUCAUCUACCUUCUAGUGGGGCAUACCUCUGGGAAACCGGAGAUAAUUCCGCAUAAGCUCGUAAGAGGAAAGCGGCGUCUUAACAACGACGCGCUGGAAGAGGAGUCCGCGGCUGAUUAGCUAGAUGGCGGGGUAACGGCCCACCAUGGCGAAGAUCGGUAGCCGGCCUGAGAGGGCACACGGCCACACUGGCACUGAAACACGGGCCAGUCUCCUACGGGAGGCAGCAGUGGGGAAUCUUGCACAAUGGAGGCAACUCUGAUGCAGCGACGCCGCGUGAGCGAUGAAGCCCUUCGGGGUGUAAAGUUCUUUCGACGGGAAAGGUAAUGACGGUACCCGGAGAAGGAGCUGCGGCUAACUACGUGCCAGCAGCCGCGGUAAUACGUAGGCAGCGAGCGUUGUUCGGAAUUACUGGGCGUAAAGAGUGUGUAGGCAGUGCUCCAAGUCUGGUGUGAAAUCUCCCGGCUUAACUGGGAGGGUGCGCCGGAAACUGGAGUGCUAGAGGGUGGGAGAGGUAAGCGGAAUUCCUGGUGUAGCGGUGAAAUGCGUAGAUAUCAGGAGGAACACCUGUGGUGUAGACAGCUUACUGGACCACUUCUGACGCUGAGACACGAAAGCGUGGGUAGCAAACAGGAUUAGAUACCCUGGUAGUCCACGCCCUAAACGAUGCAUACUUGGUGUGAGCGAUUCAUUUCGUUCGUGCCGGAGCUAACGC
This 776-nucleotide ribosomal RNA is filed under the name uncultured bacterium gp3. Its description in RNAcentral is "bacterial SSU rRNA". It matches the Rfam family "Bacterial small subunit ribosomal RNA", at positions 62 to 858 of the family's 1533-position model. The record is from RNAcentral.